UACGUAGGGGGCGAGCGUUGUCCGGAUUUAUUGGGCGUAAAGAGCUCGUAGGCGGCUUGGCAAGUCGGGUGUGAAACCUCCAGGCUCAACCUGGAGACGCCACUCGAUACUGCCAUGGCUAGAGUCCGGUAGGGGACCACGGAAUUCCUGGUGUAGCGGUGAAAUGCGCAGAUAUCAGGAGGAACACCGGUGGCGAAGGCGGUGGUCUGGGCCGGCACUGACGCUGAGGAGCGAAAGCGUGGGUAGCAAACAGG
Molecule: ribosomal RNA, 254 nt
Filed under: uncultured bacterium
Lineage: Bacteria
Also listed under: 2 other names
Description: partial 16S ribosomal RNA
Rfam family: Bacterial small subunit ribosomal RNA
Source: RNAcentral